GCAGGUUCAUGUCUCGCUGCGCGGUGUUCGGGUUGACUUUGACAGCGAGUGAGCGUUGCCCUCCGAAGGCAAAGGUCACACGUUCGAAUCGUGACGGGUGCGCCA
RNAcentral lists this transfer RNA (105 nucleotides) under Bradyrhizobium elkanii. RNAcentral's name for it is "tRNA-Arg". Lineage: Bacteria; Pseudomonadati; Pseudomonadota; Alphaproteobacteria; Hyphomicrobiales; Nitrobacteraceae. The record is from RNAcentral.